This 106-nucleotide small nuclear RNA is filed under the name Mus spretus (western wild mouse). Lineage: Eukaryota; Metazoa; Chordata; Mammalia; Rodentia; Muridae. The record is from RNAcentral.
GUGCUGCUUCGGCAGCACAUAUACUAAAAUUGGAAUGAUACAGAGAACAUUAGCAUGGCCCCUGAGCAAGGAUGAUAUGCAAAUUCAUGAAGUGUUCCAUAUUUUA